This is a non-coding RNA of Oryza meridionalis, 202 nucleotides long. Lineage: Eukaryota; Viridiplantae; Streptophyta; Magnoliopsida; Poales; Poaceae. The record is from Rfam.
UUUAAGCGCAAUCAUAAAUUUUUGUGUCUAAUUUUGAUCGUCCGUCUUAUUUAAAAUUUUUUUAGAUUAGUAUUUGUAUUGUUAUUAGAUGAUACAACAUGAAUAGUACUUUAUACGUGACUUAUGUUUUUUUAUUUUUUAAAAAGAAUGAAAUAAGAUGGACGACCAAAUUUAGACACGAAAAUUUAUGGUUGCGUUUAAA